AACCCUUGACAUGGGUAUCGCGGGACCGGAGACGGUCCUUUCAGUUCGGCUGGAUACCACACAGGUGCUGCAUGGCUGUCGUCAGCUCGUGUCGUGAGAUGUUCGGUUAAGUCCGGCAACGAGCGCAACCCACACUCUUAGUUGCCAGCAUUCAGUUGGGCACUCUAGGAGAACUGCCGGUGAUAAGCCGGAGGAAGGUGUGGAUGACGUCAAGUCCUCAUGGCCCUUACGGGUUGGGCUACACACGUGCUACAAUGGUGGUGACAAUGGGCCAAUCCCAAAAAGCCAUCUCAGUUCGGAUUGGGGUCUGCAACUCGACCCCAUGAAGUCGGAAUCGCUAGUAAUCGCGUAACAGCAUGACGCGG
This 365-nucleotide ribosomal RNA is filed under the name uncultured Alphaproteobacteria bacterium. Its description in RNAcentral is "bacterial SSU rRNA". It matches the Rfam family "Bacterial small subunit ribosomal RNA", at positions 976 to 1362 of the family's 1533-position model. The record is from RNAcentral. Lineage: Bacteria; Pseudomonadati; Pseudomonadota; Alphaproteobacteria.